GGUGGGGAAAAGAAAUUUCAUUUCUAUGCAAAAUAGUCUUGCUAUUGAAGUAAAGUUAGCUGAAGUUAGCCAAAGCCAUUGAGUACACAAUUGCCCAACCUGCCUGCCUCUCAUAUAACAUAUACCUUUCAUAAUCAAUCAUCAUAUCAAAAGAUAAGUAAAUUAUAAGUACACAAAAGCUAAAAGGCCAGCACCUAAAAUAAAAAUGUAAUAAUCUUUUGCAAGCAAGAGACAGAUUCAAAGUUCAAUACCCACAACCCAACAGAUAAAAACUGUAAAAAAGAAAAAAAGAAUGUAGGAAAGCAGAGUUUUUUGGUGUACAAAGGGAGAUAUAGACUAGAAUCUAGGGACCAGAAACUGAUAAAUUUUUUACACACAACAUCACAAAUCUGUCUGAAAAUCUUUUGAAGGUUGAAGAAAUAGUUAAGGUAAUUUUUUUCUUUUUUGUUUAGUUUAUUCAAUUCAAGCUUAGGAUUCUUGGGUCUGUGCCACUUUUGCAGGUAAAUUUUGGGAUAGUAUGCUUUCUUUACUAAUAUUUGGUGGAAAGUUCUUUAAAACCUCUUCCUUAGUAAACUUCCCUCGUUUCUCUCUUUAAUUACUGCAUUAUUGUUUUUUCCUUUGAGUUAGUAAGUUCAGGUAUCCCAGAAUAUCAACCAAUGACUUUAAACUGCUACAAGAAUGAUUUCAAUUAUGUUAUUUACAUGAAUCAUUCCAAUGCGCAAGACCUUUAUGUGUUCUUUUAGGUUGAAUCACAUCAUCUUAAAGCAUAAGUUCAACAG
Molecule: long non-coding RNA, 779 nt
Filed under: Olea europaea (common olive)
Lineage: Eukaryota; Viridiplantae; Streptophyta; Magnoliopsida; Lamiales; Oleaceae
Description: long non-coding RNA (OEUR_LNC010608)
Source: RNAcentral